This 2054-nucleotide long non-coding RNA is filed under the name Trifolium pratense (red clover). Its description in RNAcentral is "long non-coding RNA (TPRA_LNC004831)". Lineage: Eukaryota; Viridiplantae; Streptophyta; Magnoliopsida; Fabales; Fabaceae. The record is from RNAcentral.
UUGAAAUAAUGUUGCUAAAUUUUAUAUGAUAUAAAUUCCCUUUCAUGUUGGUCUUAAAUUCAUUCAUCAAACCUCAAAACCCUCUCUCACAAUAUUCACACACAUUCUCUCUCUUGCUUCAAGUGAAACUGUGUUUGUCUUGUUUCCUUUUGUGUCUCUCAUUGAAACUUUGAUAUUUCCAAACAGUGUUUCACUAUUUCUUUCUACUAACAAAAAUGUUUGCAGAAACUGGUCUUCUCUUCCCUUAUUUACAGAAUUACUCUCAAGACUUUCAACAACUUGAUGAACAGAAUUACUCUCAAGAAUUUCAACAACUUGAAGAAUAUUGCAUGACUCACAAAUCCAAUGCUUCAAUGGUACCUCUAUUUUUCUCUCUUUCUAUUUCCAAUUUCUUAAGAAUUUUUUUUUUAUUUAUUUAUUUUUAAAAUUUUUACUAUGGUUCUAACUAUUUCUUUGUCCCUUUGAACUGCAUUUGCUUGAUGGGUUUUUACUUAUAUGAAAGAAAUUUUGUUUCUUUGUUUUUGUUUGAUUCUAUGUUCUGUUUUUCUUAUGUGUUUUGAAGAUUUCCUCAUAGUUUUGUCUCAACUAAAUAUUUCUAUAUUUGUACUUUAGUUUUUCAUUUUUCUAAAUUUGGAAACUCUUUUUUUAUCUCAAUUUAUACAUAUCAAUCUAUAUAUAGUGAGUGAUAUUUAAUCAUAAUCAUGUGGAUGGUCACAAUUUAGUUUUUAAUCAUAUUUAUCAUGAUAAUUUCUCUAUGAACAUAUGGUUAAAUUAAGUAAUUAAGUUUAGUUACUUACUCUAAUCUUUCAUUUCUCACUUCAUGAACUUGUUGAUUGAAAAUAUCAAGCUUAAUGAUUAUUUUUUAAUCAUUAAGUAUGAAAGUAUUGAGAAUGUUUCUACUAAGUCAUAUUCAUAGCACAAGUGGAAACAGCUAAGUUAGCUUUAAUUGCUGGAUCUAGAAAAGUGUUACAAAAGGAAAAAGAAAAAAAAGAUUGAUUUAGAUGGAAAGUUUUUUUUUUUUUAAUUUUUUUUUUAAUUUUGUGAUACUUCCGUGUUCUUUAAUUUUUCUUCCAUUUUUAUUUAUUGGUUUUAUUUUAUGGUUAUGAAAUGUGAAUGAACUCUUAGUGGAGUUUGUCUUUUUCUCUCCCACUAAGGGGAGGUUUAUUGAAGAAGGAAAAAGUCAUUUUAUUCCCUUUUUUUUGGUAAUAUUGAAAAUGGUUUAGAUGAAAAGGACUUAUGAAUGCACAAGUUAAUGAUUUUUCUUUUUGGUCUUUUGUCUUGCACUAAAUAUAAUAGUUACAAAAAUGGAAAUCAUGAUAUUUUGCUUCUAUUUUUGUUCUUCAACAAUAUAAGAUAAAAGUAUUAGUGGGUUGGUUUUCAUGUAAUGUUUCUUGGUCUUUUGGUCACUCAAAUUGAAACAAUUCUAAAGACAUGAACUAACUUAAGAUCUUUUGAUGGACUUGAAUUAUUUGCCACAUGUGCGGCUUCUCCAGCCGCACCUUUUAAGUUGGAUUACUUUAAUAGUCGAGUGUAUUAUAUCUCAGCUGUUAGAUUAAUCCAACGGUUGAGGUGUUGUUGGAGAGGCUAGGUUCGAUGUCGCCUAUGCAGUAUAUCCAGCCGCACCUUGAAGUUGGAUUAGUUUAGCAGCAGAGUGUGUAUAUCUCGGUUGUUAGAUUAAACCCAUAAUUGACGCGCGGUUGGAGAGGAUGCAGAAGCAACCGAGGAUCCGGAUUAUAUUUUGAUACCCUUGUUCACUUUUAUGUUCAAGAAUUGUCUUAACCUUGGUUUGACUAUUAUGUUUGUAGAAAAAUUUCAAUGUUUUGUCUAUUCAUAAAAAGAAAAAGUUUGCACGUACAGUCUCUCCGGCUGCACUAAAAAGUUGGAUUAAUUGAACGGCCGAAUAUAUUAUAUCUCAGCCGUUAGAUUAAUCCAACAGUUGAGGUGCGGUUGGAAAGUCUGUACUGAAUUAUGAUGUCUGAUUGCAGUUUCAAUGUUUCAGCCAUCAACUUGGUGGGCUCUUUCAAAGUCAGCUUUUUUGGGUGAAGCAUGGGCNN